GAUGAACGCUGGCGGCGUGCCUAAUACAUGCAAGUCGAGCGAACAGACGAGGAGCUUGCUCCUCUGACGUUAGCGGCGGACGGGUGAGUAACACGUGGAUAACCUACCUAUAAGACUGGGAUAACUUCGGGAAACCGGAGCUAAUACCGGAUAAUAUAUUGAACCGCAUGGUUCAAUAGUGAAAGACGGUUUUGCUGUCACUUAUAGAUGGAUCCGCGCCGCAUUAGCUAGUUGGUAAGGUAACGGCUUACCAAGGCGACGAUGCGUAGCCGACCUGAGAGGGGGAUCGGCCACCCUGGAACUGAGACACGGUCCAGGCUCCUACGGGAGGCAGCAGUAGCGAACCUUCCGCAGUAGGCGAAAGCCUGGCGGAGCGACGCCGCGCGAGUGAUGAAGGUCUUGGGAGCGUAAUACUGUGUUAUGAGGGAAGAACAAAUUUGUAAGUUACUAUGCACGUCUUGACGGUACCUAGUCAGAAAGCCACGGCUAACUACGUG
This 497-nucleotide ribosomal RNA is filed under the name uncultured bacterium. RNAcentral describes it as "partial 16S ribosomal RNA". It matches the Rfam family "Bacterial small subunit ribosomal RNA", at positions 28 to 507 of the family's 1533-position model. The record is from RNAcentral.